RNAcentral lists this ribosomal RNA (484 nucleotides) under uncultured bacterium. Its description in RNAcentral is "partial 16S ribosomal RNA". It matches the Rfam family "Bacterial small subunit ribosomal RNA", at positions 30 to 507 of the family's 1533-position model. The record is from RNAcentral.
AUUGAACGCUGGCGGCAGGCCUAACACAUGCAAGUCGAGCGGAUGAAGAGAGCUUGCUCCUGGAUUCAGCGGCGGACGGGUGAGUAAUGCCUAGGAAUCUGCCUGGUAGUGGGGGAUAACGUCCGGAAUCGGGCGCUAAUACCGCAUACGUCCUGAGGGAGAAAGUGGGGGAUCUUCGGACCUCACGCUAUCAGAUGAGCCUAGGUCGGAUUAGCUAGUUGGUGGGGUAAAGGCCUACCAAGGCGACGAUCCGUAACUGGUCUGAGAGGAUGAUCAGUCACACUGGAACUGAGACACGGUCCAGACUCCUACGGGAGGCAGCAGUGGGGAAUAUUGGACAAUGGGCGAAAGCCUGAUCCAGCCAUGCCGCGUGUGUGAAGAAGGUCUUCGGAUUGUAAAGCACUUUAAGUUGGGAGGAAGGGCAGUAAGUUAAUACCUUGCUGUUUUGACGUUACCAACAGAAUAAGCACCGGCUAACUUCGUG